Kogia breviceps (pygmy sperm whale) is the source of this 323-nucleotide non-coding RNA. The record is from RefSeq and is a predicted model, not a curated record. Lineage: Eukaryota; Metazoa; Chordata; Mammalia; Artiodactyla; Physeteridae.
CUUUAGCAGCUGAAUGUCUCAGCCUUGCAUGAGGGCAAGGACAAAUGCCCUGCACUCACCCUUGGCCCGAUGCAGUGAAUACAUAUGUGACUGUGACUUUUCAGAGAAGAAAACUGAGGCUUACAGAAGCUCUGUGUGAUCACAUUUCCACAAUUCACAGUCUGAGAACUUAAGAUCAGCCUACAGGCAGCCCAUUCCAGUCAGUUUGAGUGCCCACCAUUUCUCUCCCUCCAGCCUCUACGUCUGUGUUGAUGCUGUACUGAAUGUGUGUUUCCUGCCUUUCAAUCUCUUACAAUUCUUCUAUCCUACAAUGCACAUACAUA